AUUAGAUACCCGCGUAGUCCAGGGUGUAAACGCUGCAGACUUGGUGUUGGGAACCCUUCGGGGGUGCUCAGUGCCGGAGAGAAGUUGUUAAGUCUGCUACUUGGGGAGUACGUCCGCAAGGAUGAAACUUAAAGGAAUUGGCGGGGGAGCACCGCAACGGGAGGAGCGUGCGGUUUAAUUGGAUUCAACGCCGAAAAACUCACCAGCAGCGACUGUUACAUGAAAGUCAGGUUGAUGACCUUACUAGAUUUUCAGAGAGGUGGUGCAUGGC
RNAcentral lists this ribosomal RNA (271 nucleotides) under uncultured archaeon. RNAcentral's name for it is "partial 16S ribosomal RNA". It matches the Rfam family "Archaeal small subunit ribosomal RNA", at positions 728 to 998 of the family's 1478-position model. The record is from RNAcentral.